This 422-nucleotide ribosomal RNA is filed under the name uncultured bacterium. Its description in RNAcentral is "bacterial SSU rRNA". It matches the Rfam family "Bacterial small subunit ribosomal RNA", at positions 355 to 774 of the family's 1533-position model. The record is from RNAcentral.
UGAGGAAUAUUGGGCAAUGCCCGCAAGGGUGACCCAGCAACGCCGCGUGGAGGAUGAAUGUCGUAAGAUUGUAAACUCCUGUUAGAGGGGAAGAAUAGUACCGGUUGGACCGGUAUAUGACUGUACCCUCAGAGAAAUCCCCGGCUAACUACGUGCCAGCAGCCGCGGUAAUACGUAGGGGGCAAGCGUUGUCCGGAUUUACUGGGUGUAAAGGGCGCGCAGGCGGGAUAAAAAGUCAGUGGUGAAAUCCUACAGCUUAACUGUAGAACUGCCUUUGAUACUUUUAUUCUUGAGUUCGGGAGAGAGAGACGGAAUUCCAGGUGUAGUGGUGAAAUACGUAGAUAUCUGGAAGAACACCAGUUGCGAAGGCGGUCUCUUGGUCCGACACUGACGCUGAGGCGCGAAAGCGUGGGGAGCAAACA